RNAcentral lists this ribosomal RNA (497 nucleotides) under uncultured bacterium. RNAcentral describes it as "partial 16S ribosomal RNA". It matches the Rfam family "Bacterial small subunit ribosomal RNA", at positions 28 to 507 of the family's 1533-position model. The record is from RNAcentral.
GACGAACGCUGGCGGCGUGCCUAAUACAUGCAAGUUGAGCGCUGAAGGUUGGUACUUGUACCAACUGGAUGAGCAGCGAACGGGUGAGUAACGCGUGGGGAAUCUGCCUUUGAGCGGGGGACAACAUUUGGAAACGAAUGCUAAUACCGCAUAAAAACUUUAAACACAAGUUUUAAGUUUGAAAGAUGCAAUUGCAUCACUCAAAGAUGAUCCCGCGUUGUAUUAGCUAGUUGGUGAGGUAAAGGCUCACCAAGGCGAUGAUACAUAGCCGACCUGAGAGGGUGAUCGGCCACAUUGGGACUGGGACACGGCCCAAACUCCUACGGGAGGCAGCAGUAGGGAAUCUUCGGCAAUGGACGCAAGUCUGACCGAGCAACGCCGCGUGAGUGAAGAAGGUUUUCGGAUCGUAAAACUCUGUUGGUAGAGAAGAACGUUGGUGAGAGUGGAAAGCUCAUCAAGUGACGGUAACUACCCAGAAAGGGACGGCUAACUACGUG